Otolemur garnettii (small-eared galago) is the source of this 114-nucleotide unclassified non-coding RNA. It matches the Rfam family "Y RNA". From Rfam's summary of the family: Y RNAs are components of the Ro ribonucleoprotein particle (Ro RNP), in association with Ro60 and La proteins. The Y RNAs and Ro60 and La proteins are well conserved, but the function of the Ro RNP is not known. In humans the RNA component can be one of four small RNAs -- hY1, hY3, hY4 and hY5. NCBI's taxonomy places the organism in Eukaryota, Metazoa, Chordata, Mammalia, Primates, Galagidae. The record is from Ensembl.
GGCUGGCCAGAAGGUCGUGAGAUAUCUCACUUGAUUAUUCACGGUUGGUUACAGAUUGAACUCCUUGUUCCAUUCUCCCCUCACCACUCCUCUACUGCAUUUGACUAGUCCUUU